AGGACUUUAUUUCCUGGUGGCAAAGCCACAGAUCCUGAGCUCAGUGCUGAGAGCCGCCCCACCCUGGUAGACCGCCCGACUUUAUGAUUUCUACUGGCUGCAGGCUGCAUGGGAAGGACCCGCGAGACUCUCUAGAUGCGCAAUGCCUGCUGGAGUACUGAGAUGCCAGGAAUGUGCCACCAUGCCUGGCUAAGCUAGGAGCUUCUUCAUCACCACUAUUAACCAGGAUCACUGUGCUUGGUGAAAUGAAACUUCAGUGAGGCAUGGUGCUGCCCACCUUUCAUCUGAGCCACUUGGGACACUGAGGCUGGAUUAUUGAAAUAACAAGUCCAGGCUGGAGAAUGGACCAAGACCCAGAUCAACAUAUGGCUGCCACCACAAGAAAGAGAAGCCUUAACCUUGUCAGAAAAAGGAAAGAAAAGGCCCAAAUCCAUGCACUUAGGAAUGAAAAGGGUGAAAUUACAACAGACCCAGCAGAAAUCCAGAGGAUCAUCAAUACCUACUUCCAGAACCUAUAC
Molecule: non-coding RNA, 518 nt
Organism: Heterocephalus glaber (naked mole-rat)
Lineage: Eukaryota; Metazoa; Chordata; Mammalia; Rodentia; Bathyergidae
Source: RefSeq, a predicted model, not a curated record